Vicugna pacos (alpaca) is the source of this 1025-nucleotide non-coding RNA. The record is from RefSeq and is a predicted model, not a curated record. Lineage: Eukaryota; Metazoa; Chordata; Mammalia; Artiodactyla; Camelidae.
UAGGAAGAUGGGGAUUGAUCCACUAGGAGUAGCCUCAGCCCUCAUUCACAGAGCACUUAACUAAACGACCAGCUAUGCCUUACACUAUGAUGGAGAGAGAGGACAUGAUUUGGAAUCAGGACAUUUGGAUACCACCCAGCACGUCUACCUAUCAACACAGAUUGAAAGACGACUCCUGGAAGGCUGGGCACAGUCAUCUCAUAAAUUACAAACAGCUGAUCCUAAUAAUUAUGUAUAUGGCAUUUUUAUCUUGUGAACAACAUACUUCUGAAGAUGGAGGGAUGGGACUAUAACAACUAUUUCUUUACUUUUUUCAUUUGUAAGUUUUACACUUGUGAUACAGUUUGCCAAAAUUUAUUUAGUAACUAAAAUUUACAAAUCAACUUAGAAACCAUUGUGUUUUUACGAGAGCCUUUAGAUGACAGCAAAUUAUGGUAUAUUUAUUCAUUGUAGCUAAAAAUUAAGAAUGACACUUGUUAAGGCACUUAGUCAUGCUUUUUAUCUUCCAUUCUCUUUCUUUCUUUUACCUAUAAUUUCUACUCAAUCUUGGGAUUUACUGUUCAUGUAACUUCUUUCACUAAUGCAAAUCAGAAUGGCCAAAAUAAUCCUCUGUGAAUAAGUAACAAGUAUGAUAUAUUGAAAGUGGCGAGCUGGCUCCAUCUUAACAGUUUCUGGGACUUAACAAUCUUGCUGAAUGGUGUUUAGAUUCAGGAAGCAUCUCACACACCUUCUCAUAGAAUAAUAAAAUAAUAAUCAAUGUCUCAAAAGGACAAGCAACAACUCACUGGUUGAGGUGUACCUGGUAGAUGGUGAGCUUUGCCCCUGCGUGGUACAGGUUGGGUGUUCCUAAUUAACACUAACAACACUGACAAAACUGUUCACCUUUUUGAAUUGCUCUAUUUAAAUUUUUUCCUUAUUUUUGAUCUGUCACAUGUUAAACCUCUCCAAGAUCACAUUUCUUCUCUUUUGUUUAGAUUGCAGUUGAUAAUUCUUUUCUUCCCUAAAUUAAAACAAUAAAUACGUUU